AGGCCUUCGGGUCGUAAAGUUCUGUUGUUAGAGAAGAACAAGUACGAGAGUAACUGCUCGUACCUUGACGGUACCUAACCAGAAAGCCACGGCUAACUACGUGCCAGCAGCCGCGGUAAUACGUAGGUGGCAAGCGUUGUCCGGAAUUAUUGGGCGUAAAGCGCGCGCAGGCGGUUCCUUAAGUCUGAUGUGAAAGCCCACGGCUCAACCGUGGAGGGUCAUUGGAAACUGGGGAACUUGAGUGCAGAAGAGGAGAGCGGAAUUCCACGUGUAGCGGUGAAAUGCGUAGAGAUGUGGAGGAACACCAGUGGCGAAGGCGGCUCUCUGGUCUGUAACUGACGCUGAGGCGCGAAAGCGUGGGGAGCGAACAGGAUUAGAUACCCUGGUAGUCCACGCCGUAAACGAUGAGUGCUAAGUGUUAGAGGGUUUCCGCCCUUUAGUGCUGCAGCAAACGCAUUAAGCACUCCGCCUGGGGAGUACGGCCGCAAGGCUGAAACUCAAAGGAAUUGACGGGGGCCCGCACAAGCGGUGGAGCAUGUGGUUUAAUUCGAAGCAACGCGAAGAACCUUACCAGGUCUUGACAUCCUCUGACAACCCUAGAGAUAGGGCGUUCCCCUUCGGGGGACAGAGUGACARGUGGUGCAUGGUUGUCGUCAGCUCGUGUCGUGAGAUGUUGGGUUAAGUCCCGCAACGAGCGCAACCCUUGAUCUUAGUUGCCAG
This 720-nucleotide ribosomal RNA is filed under the name uncultured bacterium. Its description in RNAcentral is "bacterial SSU rRNA". It matches the Rfam family "Bacterial small subunit ribosomal RNA", at positions 412 to 1121 of the family's 1533-position model. The record is from RNAcentral.